UACGAAGGGGGCGAGCGUUGUUCGGAUUUACUGGGCGUAAAGGGCGCGCAGGCGGCUCAUUUGUCAGGCGUGAAAGCCCCGGGCUCAACCUCGGAACUGCCUUUGAUACUGGGGACUCUCGAGUCGGGAGAGGUGAGUGGAACUGCGAGUGUAGAGGUGAAAUCGUAGAUAUUCGCAAGAACACCAGUGGCGAAGGCGGCUCACUGGCCCGGUAC
Molecule: ribosomal RNA, 215 nt
Filed under: uncultured bacterium
Lineage: Bacteria
Description: partial 16S ribosomal RNA
Rfam family: Bacterial small subunit ribosomal RNA
Source: RNAcentral